RNAcentral lists this non-coding RNA (937 nucleotides) under Patagioenas fasciata monilis. Lineage: Eukaryota; Metazoa; Chordata; Aves; Columbiformes; Columbidae. The record is from Rfam by way of RNAcentral.
AAAACUUAGUCCUAACCUUACCAUUAGUUUUUGCUAAACAUGCACAUGCAAGUAUCUGGACCCAAAUGUAAAUGCCCUUAAUCCCUAUGUUGUAGGUAAAAGGAGCUGGUAUCAGGCAUGCUCAUUGCAGCCUAAGAUGCCUUACUUAGCCAUACUCCCAUGGGUACUCAGCAGUAAUUAACAUUAAGCAAUAAGUGUAAACUUGACUUAGUUAUAGCAACACUCAGGGUUGGUAAAUCUUGUGCCAGCCACUGCGGUCACACAAGAGACUCAAAUUAACCGUGUACAGCAUAAAGAGCGGUCCCAUAUUAUCACAAUAAUUAAGAUCAAAAUAUAGCUGAGCUGUCAUGAGCCUAAGGUGCAUUUAAAACCACCCUAAAGACAACCUUAACACUUAUGAUUAAAUCCCAUGAAAACUAGGACACAAACUGGGAUUAGAUACCCCAGUAUGCUUAACCCUAAAUCUUGAUGCUUACCAUACUAAAGCAUCUGCCCGAGGGCUAUGAGCACAAAUGCUUAAAACUCUAAGGACUCGGCGGUGCCCCAAACCCACCUAGAGGAGCCUGUUCUAUAAUCAACAACCCAUGAUACACCUGACCGCUUCUUGCUAAAAACAGCCUACAUACCAUGAUCGCCAGCUCACCUCCCACUAACCCCACUAAUAAGGCAGGUCAAGGUAUAGUCUAUGGAACAGAAGAAAUGGGUUACAUUUUCNNNNNNNNNNUGGAAAGGGGCAUGAAACAACCCAUAGAAGACAGAUUUAGCAGUAAAGUGGGAAAAUAAUGCCCCCUUUAAAUCAGCUCUGAGGCACAUACAUGCCACCCGUCAUUGUCUGCACAAGCUAUAAGUCCCUAUAAAUAAUACCCUCCUUCACCAAAGAUGAGGUAAGUCAUAACAAGGUAAGUGUACCGGAAGGUGCAGUUAGCACACCAAGAUG